GAGGAAUAUUGGUCAAUGGGCGAGAGCCUGAACCAGCCAAGUAGCGUGAAGGAUGACUGCCCUAUGGGUUGUAAACUUCUUUUAUAAAGGAAUAAAGUCGGGUAUGGAUACCCGUUUGCAUGUACUUUAUGAAUAAGGAUCGGCUAACUCCGUGCCAGCAGCCGCGGUAAUACGGAGGAUCUGAGCGUUAUCCGGAUUUAUUGGGUUUAAAGGGUGCUCAGGCGGGGGAUUAAGUCGGCGGUGAAAUUUUGCAGCUCAACUGUAAAAGUGCCUUCGAAACUGGUUUCCUUGAGUGCGGAUGAGGUAGGCGGAAUUUGUGGUGUAGCGGUGAAAUGCAUAGAUAUCACGAGGAACUCCGAUUGCGCAGGCAGCUUACCAAGCCGUAACUGACGCUCAAGCACGAAGGCGUGGGGAUCAAACA
Molecule: ribosomal RNA, 421 nt
Filed under: uncultured Porphyromonadaceae bacterium
Lineage: Bacteria; Pseudomonadati; Bacteroidota; Bacteroidia; Bacteroidales; Porphyromonadaceae
Description: bacterial SSU rRNA
Rfam family: Bacterial small subunit ribosomal RNA
Source: RNAcentral